Photinus pyralis (common eastern firefly) is the source of this 457-nucleotide long non-coding RNA. RefSeq lists it as uncharacterized. The transcript has 3 exons. Lineage: Eukaryota; Metazoa; Arthropoda; Insecta; Coleoptera; Lampyridae. The record is from RefSeq and is a predicted model, not a curated record.
UUUAAACAAGCUCUCAAGUGCUCUUUUACUAAAAUUAACACUUCUAGCAUAUUGCAAAGAUAUCUACAUCACGGUACGUUUGUGCCAAUUAAUACAUAUUUACAAAAUUAGGUGCGACAAGCGCCGGCGCUAUGUCUGAAGAAUGUGAACAAUGUUGCGGUACCAUAUUCCUGUUAAUUAAGUACACUUAAAUGAACAAGCCGAAAGGUGUAGGUGUAGUAAUUCGACUUGUUAAUUUAACGGGCAAAUCGUGCUCGUACAUAAAUUAAAUUACUUUCAAGAAAGAGGGCGAAACAAAAUAAAUGUUAACGUGCUUAAGUAAUGGAUUUGGUGACAACAUAAACGUCACUACAAGUCUUACUGGAUCGGAUCAUAUAUCGGGAGGCAUUCCAAUUCCACUCGAGCAUUCUAUAUAGCUUGUACGGGAUGCACAGACACUCCUUAAUUAAUCUUCGAG